This 795-nucleotide ribosomal RNA is filed under the name uncultured bacterium. RNAcentral describes it as "bacterial SSU rRNA". It matches the Rfam family "Bacterial small subunit ribosomal RNA", at positions 57 to 849 of the family's 1533-position model. The record is from RNAcentral.
GCAGUCGAGCGGUGAGAGAAGCUUGCUUUUCUUGAGAGCGGCGGACGGGUGAGUAAUGCCUAGGAAUCUGCCUGGUAGUGGGGGAUAACGUUCGGAAACGGACGCUAAUACCGCAUACGUCCUACGGGAGAAAGCAGGGGACCUUCGGGCCUUGCGCUAUCAGAUGAGCCUAGGUCGGAUUAGCUAGUUGGUGAGGUAAUGGCUCACCAAGGCGACGAUCCGUAACUGGUCUGAGAGGAUGAUCAGUCACACUGGAACUGAGACACGGUCCAGACUCCUACGGGAGGCAGCAGUGGGGAAUAUUGGACAAUGGGCGAAAGCCUGAUCCAGCCAUGCCGCGUGUGUGAAGAAGGUCUUCGGAUUGUAAAGCACUUUAAGUUGGGAGGAAGGGCAGUAAAUUAAUACUUUGCUGUUUUGACGUUACCGACAGAAUAAGCACCGGCUAACUCUGUGCCAGCAGCCGCGGUAAUACAGAGGGUGCAAGCGUUAAUCGGAAUUACUGGGCGUAAAGCGCGCGUAGGUGGUUUGUUAAGUUGGAUGUGAAAUCCCCGGGCUCAACCUGGGAACUGCAUUCAAAACUGACUGACUAGAGUAUGGUAGAGGGUGGUGGAAUUUCCUGUGUAGCGGUGAAAUGCGUAGAUAUAGGAAGGAACACCAGUGGCGAAGGCGACCACCUGGACUAAUACUGACACUGAGGUGCGAAAGCGUGGGGAGCAAACAGGAUUAGAUACCCUGGUAGUCCACGCCGUAAACGAUGUCAACUAGCCGUUGGAAGCCUUGAGCUUUUAGUGGCGC